CUACGGGCGGCAGCAGUGGGGAAUAUUGCACAAUGGGCGCAAGCCUGAUGCAGCCAUGCCGCGUGUAUGAAGAAGGCCUUCGGGUUGUAAAGUACUUUCAGCGGGGAGGAAGGGAGUAAAGUUAAUACCUUUGCUCAUUGACGUUACCCGCAGAAGAAGCACCGGCUAACUCCGUGCCAGCAGCCGCGGUAAUACGGAGGGUGCAAGCGUUAAUCGGAAUUACUGGGCGUAAAGCGCACGCAGGCGGUGUGUUAAGUCAGAUGUGAAAUCCCCGGGCUCAACCUGGGAACUGCAUCUGAUACUGGCAAGCUUGAGUCUCGUAGAGGGGGGUAGAAUUCCAGGUGUAGCGGUGAAAUGCGUAGAGAUCUGGGGGAAUACCGGUGGCGAAGGCGGCCCCCUGGACGAAGACUGACGCUCAGGUGCGAAAGCGUGGGGAGCAAACAGGAUUAGAUACCCCAGUAGUC
This 464-nucleotide ribosomal RNA is filed under the name uncultured bacterium. Its description in RNAcentral is "partial 16S ribosomal RNA". It matches the Rfam family "Bacterial small subunit ribosomal RNA", at positions 339 to 795 of the family's 1533-position model. The record is from RNAcentral.